UAACUCUUAAUUUGUAUGAAGUUGGAUCGUUUGCCUACGUUUGCCGCUAGGGGCAAAGUGAUUGUAUGUUCGAACUGCAUACAAAUUUAAGUUA
Molecule: microRNA precursor, 94 nt
Filed under: Bombyx mori (domestic silkworm)
Lineage: Eukaryota; Metazoa; Arthropoda; Insecta; Lepidoptera; Bombycidae
Description: mir-2807 microRNA precursor family
Rfam family: mir-2807 microRNA precursor family
Source: Rfam by way of RNAcentral